GAUGAACGCUGGCGGCGUGCCUAAUACAUGCAAGUCGAGCGAACAGACGAGGAGCUUGCUCCUCUGACGUUAGCGGCGGACGGGUGAGUAACACGUGGAUAACCUACCUAUAAGACUGGGAUAACUUCGGGAAACCGGAGCUAAUACCGGAUAAUAUAUUGAACCGCAUGGUUCAAUAGUGAAAGACGGUUUUGCUGUCACUUAUAGAUGGAUCCGCGCCGCAUUAGCUAGUUGGUAAGGUAACGGCUUACCAAGGCAACGAUGCGUAGCCGACCUGAGAGGGUGAUCGUCCAGACUGGAACGGAGACACUGUCCAGAAGACGACGGGAUGCAGAAGUAGGGAAGCUUCAGCAAUGGGCGCAAGCCUGACGGAGCAACGCCGCGUGAGGGAUGAAGGUCUUCGGAUCGUAAAACUCUGCUAUUAGGGAAGAACAUAUGUGUAAGUAACGGUGCACAGCUGGACGGUACCGAAUCAGAAAGCCACGGCUAACUACGUG
This 497-nucleotide ribosomal RNA is filed under the name uncultured bacterium. Its description in RNAcentral is "partial 16S ribosomal RNA". It matches the Rfam family "Bacterial small subunit ribosomal RNA", at positions 28 to 507 of the family's 1533-position model. The record is from RNAcentral.